Molecule: long non-coding RNA, 760 nt
Organism: Oreochromis niloticus (Nile tilapia)
Lineage: Eukaryota; Metazoa; Chordata; Actinopteri; Cichliformes; Cichlidae
Exons: 2
Source: RefSeq, a predicted model, not a curated record
ACCAAAUCGAAAAUGCUGACUUGUGUGUUAGGAUGGUCUGUCAGCUUAAAGAAUAGUUAAACAUAGAGCUAGGCAAUUCAAGAAAAAGAGGGCAAAAAGGCGAAUGUCAUUGUUGUGUUUAACGUUUUGAUUUAUGAAAACUACAAUUCAGAUGAGAGUCACGUGUCCAACUUCCUACUUUCUGUGCCAUAUUAAACUUAACGUUCCGUGCAGUCACUGUUGUGUGUCACUUGUGCAGUUAAAUAAUAAUGUAAUAUAUUAGUGUGCUGUAACUACAUGCUUUCAUCAGUUUAUAACAGUUUAAUGCUUCCUGCUCGCCCAGCCUCUCCUUUGAUCUGAGUUUCCACUUCAGAACAAACCUGGAUUUUUCCGAUGUCCCUGGCGCAGCCCACCACUUUCAUACCGAGUCGGACCAGCUCCACGGCUAUAGUCGCCCCAAUCCCGACCGAGGCUCCGGUCACCAGAGCCACUCUGCCCCGCCAGCGCUCCAUCACAGCCCGGUAACCUGCUACAUGGACGAAAGCACCUCAAGUAUGAAGACAGGGACGCUAAGUCUGAAGAAAACGGACUCCGGAGCUCCAACUGUCUUGUACUCGUGAACACGCGAUGCUUUUAAACACAUCAUAUGCCUGUGUGCUGCGUUCACGUCAUCAGCAAACUGUAGGAAAACAGUUGAAUCGGUUCUUUUGUUAAUUCAAGUAAAAACUAUACUAUGAUAUGCUUACUUGCAUUCAUGAAAAUAAAACCUAAUUCUAUCGCA